GACGAACGCUGGCGGCGUGCUUAACACAUGCAAGUCGAACGGGAUCCAUCGCGAGCUUGCUCAAGAGAAGAUCUAGUGGCGAACGGGUGCGUAACACGUGAGAAACCUGCCCCAGACUUGGGAAUAACAGUCGGAAACGACUGCUAAUACCGAAUACCUUCGUAGCGUCGCAUGGCGCAUCGAAGAAAGCUUUAUGCGGUUUGGGAGGGUCUCGCGGCCUAUCAGCUAGUUGGUGAGGUAACGGCUCACCAAGGCAUCGACGGGUAGCUGGUCUGAGAGGAUGAUCAGCCACACUGGGACUGAGACACGGCCCAGACUCCUACGGGUGGCAG
This 332-nucleotide ribosomal RNA is filed under the name uncultured Actinomycetes bacterium. RNAcentral's name for it is "bacterial SSU rRNA". It matches the Rfam family "Bacterial small subunit ribosomal RNA", at positions 28 to 351 of the family's 1533-position model. Lineage: Bacteria; Bacillati; Actinomycetota; Actinomycetes. The record is from RNAcentral.